UAGAUCUGUAACUCACAUUUCUAUGUGAAUUUGGUCGCGAUCGCCCCCAAAAAAGUUACUGUAUUGCCUCUUCUUUAAAGCCUGGUUGUCGCUGUAAGGACACCUAUUGGCAUUAUUGGUUUUAAUGAGGUCUCAAGCAAACCCUUGUGGCGUUGCUGUCAAACUGCACAGUUACAGAAAAAUCCAUGCUAUACUGCUGUACUUUCAGAAGUUGUUUUACUGAAAAAAUAUUGUAGAAAAUAUUAUGUACAUCGACAAACUAAUUAUAUGAAUAUAAAACUUGUUUUUAUCAUGUCAAAAGUAUUUAGAAAAAUUGCAAUUACAUACACUGAGUGGACAAAACAUUAAGAACACCUUCCUAAUAUUGAGUUUUCUCCCCCUCUUGCCGUCAGAACAGCCUCAACUAGUCGGGACAUGGACUCUACAAGGUGUCUAAAGCGUUCGACAGGGACGCUGGCCCAUGUUGACUCUAAUACUUCCUACAGUUGUGUCAAAUUGGCUGGAUGUCCUUUUGAUACAGACAGGAAACUGUUGAGAGUGAAAAACCCAAGCACCCCAUUCAAAGACACUUACAUUUUGGUCUUUGCCCAUUCAGCCUCUGAAUCCAUGUCUCAAUAGAGGCCCCACAGCGGAGGUGUCAUAAUACCCAUAAAGCCUAGCGGUCGAACAAGGAAAUGGUUCCAUUCAGAGAUUUUAGAAACGUUUACACAAGGGGAAUAUAUUGAUCCAAGUCACCUUUGUCUUAGAGAGAGAUUUACACAGUUAUCAAAACGUCACGCCAGGGUAAACCUACACGAAACACAGUCCUUAUUUUAAGUAUUUCUAAAAUCCCCUACGUGGAAAAAGGAAUGUUGGAACCGUUUUCCUAUUUGACCGCUAGGUUUUAUGGGUAUUAUACUGUGGUACUCUAUUGUCUCAAGGCUUUAAAAAAAAAAAAUCUUUAAAAAGUGAUGUCAAUAAGGGAUCAGAGCUUUCACCUGGAUUCACCUGGAUUCACCUGGUCGGUCAGUCUAUGUGAUGGAAAAGAGCAGGUGUUCUUAAUGUUUUGUCCACUUAGUGUAUGUUCAUAGAGAUGUGUUUGUGUCUAGUCAGCCAGUUCAGCCAGUAAUCUGAUCCUCUUCAUCAGCGAUGUGUUUGUGUCUAGUCAGCCAGUUCAGCCAGUAGUCUGAUCCUCUUCAUCGACGGUGUGUUUGUGUCUAGUCAGCCAGUUCAGCCAGUAGUCUGAUCCUCUUCAUCGACGGUGUGUUUGUGUCUAGUCAGCCAGUUCAGCCAGUAGUCUGAUCCUCUUCAUCAGCGGUGUGUUUGUGUCUAGUCAGCCAGUUCAGCCAGUAAUCUGAUCCUCUUCAUCAGCGGUGUGUUUGUGUCUAGUCAGCCAGUUCAGCCAGUAGUCUGAUCCUCGUGUGUUUGUGUCUAGUCAGCCAGUUCAGCCAGUAGUCUGAUCCUCUUCAUCGACGGUGUGUUUGUGUCUAGUCAGCCAGUUCAGCCAGUAGUCUGAUCCUCUUCAUCAGAGAUGUGUUUGUGUCUAGUCAGCCAGUUCAGCCAGUAGUCUGAUCCUCUUCAUCGACGGUGUGUUUGUGUCUAGUCAGCCAGUUCAGCCAGUAAUCUGAUCCUCUUCAUCGACGGUGUGUUUGUGUCUAGUCAGCCAGUUCAGCCAGUAGUCUGAUCCUCUUCAUCAGCGGUGUGUUUGUGUCUAGUCAGCCAGUUCAGCCAGUAGUCUGAUCCUCUUCAUCGACGGUGUGUUUGUGUCUAGUCAGCCAGUUCAGCCAGUAGUCUGAUCCUCUUCAUCAGAGAUGUGUUUGUGUCUAGUCAGCCAGUUCAGCCAGUAGUCUGAUCCUCUUCAUCGACGGUGUGUUUGUGUCUAGUCAGCCAGUUCAGCCAGUAGUCUGAUCCUCUUCAUCGACGGUGUGUUUGUGUCUAGUCAGCCAGUUCAGCCAGUAGUCUGAUCCUCGUGUGUUUGUGUCUAGUCAGCCAGUUCAGCCAGUAGUCUGAUCCUCGUGUGUUUGUGUCUAGUCAGCCAGUUCAGCCAGUAGUCUGAUCCUCUUCAUCAGCGAUGUGUUUGUGUCUAGUCAGCCAGUUCAGCCAGUAGUCUGAUCCUCUUCAUCGACGGUGUGUUUGUGUCUAGUCAGCCAGUUCAGCCAGUAGUCUGAUCCUCUUCAUCGACGGUGUGUUUGUGUCUAGUCAGCCAGUUCAGCCAGUAGUCUGAUCCUCUUCAUCAGCGAUGUGUUUGUGUCUAGUCAGCCAGUUCAGCCAGUAGUCUGAUCCUCUUCAUCGACGGUGUGUUUGUGUCUAGUCAGCCAGUUCAGCCAGUAGUCUGAUCCUCUCCAGCAGCUCAGAGAAAGAAGGGCGGCCCUGUG
This 2354-nucleotide long non-coding RNA is filed under the name Salmo salar (Atlantic salmon). RNAcentral describes it as "lncRNA (ENSSSAG00000003574.2)". Lineage: Eukaryota; Metazoa; Chordata; Actinopteri; Salmoniformes; Salmonidae. The record is from RNAcentral.